This 419-nucleotide ribosomal RNA is filed under the name uncultured bacterium. RNAcentral's name for it is "partial 16S ribosomal RNA". It matches the Rfam family "Bacterial small subunit ribosomal RNA", at positions 28 to 455 of the family's 1533-position model. The record is from RNAcentral.
GAUGAACGCUGGCGGCGUGCCUAACACAUGCAAGUCGAGCGAUUCUCUUCGGAGAAGAGCGGCGGACGGGUGAGUAACGCGUGGGUAACCUACCCUGUACACACGGAUAACAUACCGAAAGGUAUGCUAAUACGGGAUGAUAUAUAGAAAUCGCAUGAUUUUUAUAUCAAAGAUUUAUCGGUACAGGAUGGACCCGCGUCUGAUUAGCUUGUUGGCGGGGUAACGGCCCACCAAGGCGACGAUCAGUAGCCGACCUGAGAGGGUGAUCGGCCACAUUGGAACUGAGACACGGUCCAAACUCCUACGGGAGGCAGCAGUGGGGAAUAUUGCACAAUGGGCGCAAGCCUGAUGCAGCAACGCCGSGUGAGSGAUGAAGGCCUUCGGGUSGUAAAGSYUYKGUCYUUCWARAGGRRAAARGG